This 418-nucleotide ribosomal RNA is filed under the name uncultured bacterium. RNAcentral's name for it is "bacterial SSU rRNA". It matches the Rfam family "Bacterial small subunit ribosomal RNA", at positions 355 to 786 of the family's 1533-position model. The record is from RNAcentral.
UGGGGAAUAUUGGGCAAUGGGCGAAAGCCUGACCCAGCAACGCCGCGUGAAGGAAGAAGGUCUUGGAUUGUAAACUUUUGUCCUAUGGGAAGAAGGAAGUGACGGUACCAUGGGAGGAAGCCCCGGCUAACUACGUGCCAGCAGCCGCGGUAAUACGUAGGGGGCGAGCGUUGUCCGGAAUUACUGGGCGUAAAGGGCGCGCAGGCGGCCGAUCAAGUUAGAUGUGAAAUACCUGGGCUUAACCUGGGAACUGCAUUUAAAACUGGUUGGCUAGGAGUGCAGGAGAGGGAAGCGGAAUUCCUAGUGUAGCGGUGAAAUGCGUAGAUAUUAGGAGGAACACCAGUGGCGAAGGCGGCUUUCUGGACUGUAACUGACGCUGAGGCGCGAAAAGCGUGGGGAGCGAACAGGAUUAGAUACC